AAGGAAGCAAAUCCUAGGAACAAUCACGUGAGCUUGGAAGGAGACCUUUCCCCAGCUGAGCCUCAGCCUGGGCCAUCACCUGCAUCUGGACUGAAGACCCAAAGAAACUACUCCAUCAGGAAUUGUUUGAGACCAUGCAUUAUGUGGACACUCAUAUCGUGGAAUUAUAUUGCCAAUUGGCAUUCCUAAAGCUUCUACGCUAGCAGGUUUGGAGUAAUUCACCAGUGAAGUCUUCUCAACCUGGGCAAUCAUGUGAGCUUGGAAGAUGAUGCAUCCCCAUCUCAUCUUUCAGGUGAAACCUCAGCCUUGGCCAUCACCUACAUCUGGAUUUCUGACCCAGAGAAACUAGAAAGCAGGAGGUUAUUCGAGGAUGCUGGGCUCCCCUCACAAAUCUGUUUCUCAAAGUAUUGCAGAAAGGUGUGUCUUCUGGACACUCCCAGAGUAGGCUGGAGUACAGUGGCAUGAUUUCAGCUUACCGCAAACUCUGCCUCCUGGAUUCAAACCAUCCUCCGGCCUCAGCCUCCUGAGUAGCUGGGGCAACAGGUGUGAAGGCUGGUCUUAAACUCCUGACCUCAAGUGAUGGACCUGUCUUGGCUUCCAAAAGUGCUGGAAUUACAG
Homo sapiens (human) is the source of this 618-nucleotide long non-coding RNA. RefSeq annotates it as Prader-Willi region non-protein coding RNA 4. The record is from RefSeq and is marked validated. The transcript has 6 exons. NCBI's taxonomy places the organism in Eukaryota, Metazoa, Chordata, Mammalia, Primates, Hominidae.